RNAcentral lists this ribosomal RNA (228 nucleotides) under uncultured Eubacteriales bacterium. RNAcentral describes it as "uncultured Clostridiales bacterium partial 16S ribosomal RNA". It matches the Rfam family "Bacterial small subunit ribosomal RNA", at positions 105 to 334 of the family's 1533-position model. Lineage: Bacteria; Bacillati; Bacillota; Clostridia; Eubacteriales. The record is from RNAcentral.
GGUGAGUAACACGUGAGUAACCUGCCUUACACAAGGGGAUAGCCGUUGGAAACGACGAAUAAUACCCUAUGAAACUAUCACUUCGCAUGAAGCGAUAGUCAAAGUGUUAGCGGUGUAAGAUGGACUUGCGUCUGAUUAGCUAGUUGGUGAGAAAAAGCCCACCAAGGCAACGAUCAGUAGCCGGCUUGAGAGAGUGUACGGCCACAUUGGGACUGAGACACGGUCCAG